RNAcentral lists this ribosomal RNA (524 nucleotides) under Lithophaga lithophaga. RNAcentral describes it as "partial 16S ribosomal RNA". It matches the Rfam family "Bacterial large subunit ribosomal RNA", at positions 1822 to 2526 of the family's 2925-position model. Lineage: Eukaryota; Metazoa; Mollusca; Bivalvia; Mytilida; Mytilidae. The record is from RNAcentral.
UUCUUCUUGAAAGUGAUGAGAAGUAGGCCCUGCCCAGUGUCCUUCGUGGUAAUACCCGGGAUAAACGGCAGCAGUACUCUGACUGUUCGAAGGUAGCGUGAUAGAUAGCCUUUUAAUUGGAGGCCCGUAUGAAUGGGUUAACGGGGAAAGACUGUGCCGGAUGAAAAAUAUUGAAUUUAAUUUCGAGGUGAAGAAGCUUCGAUGUGUGAAAAGGACGACAAGACCCUGAAAGCUUUUGCUAGGAGCGGGAUUUAAGGCAGUUCUGUUGUUAGAGCGGGCUGUGGGGCUCUCUGUAGGGGGAGUGCUAUCAAGGUUGCAUGAUGUGCUCACAGGAUGGGUGGGUCAUGCUGACCGGACUCGUCUUUGCUUUCGUUUUUGUUGGGGCAACAGGUCUAAAAUGUCUAGGCCGCGGUAAAAGACAGACAUGUUUUCAUCCGCUUUAUGAGAGGAGGUGGACAAGUUACUUCAGGGAUAACAGCAUAAUCUUUCUUGAGAGUAUUUAUCGGAAGGGGGGUUUAUGACCU